RNAcentral lists this ribosomal RNA (827 nucleotides) under Acinetobacter sp. VTT E-073065. Its description in RNAcentral is "bacterial SSU rRNA". It matches the Rfam family "Bacterial small subunit ribosomal RNA", at positions 51 to 872 of the family's 1533-position model. The record is from RNAcentral. Lineage: Bacteria; Pseudomonadati; Pseudomonadota; Gammaproteobacteria; Moraxellales; Moraxellaceae.
ACACAUGCAAGUCGAGCGGAGCGAGGGUGCUUGCACCUUAGCUUAGCGGCGGACGGGUGAGUAAUGCUUAGGAAUCUGCCUAUUAGUGGGGGACAACAUUCCGAAAGGAAUGCUAAUACCGCAUACGCCCUACGGGGGAAAGCAGGGGAUCUUCGGACCUUGCGCUAAUAGAUGAGCCUAAGUCGGAUUAGCUAGUUGGUGGGGUAAAGGCCUACCAAGGCGACGAUCUGUAGCGGGUCUGAGAGGAUGAUCCGCCACACUGGGACUGAGACACGGCCCAGACUCCUACGGGAGGCAGCAGUGGGGAAUAUUGGACAAUGGGCGCAAGCCUGAUCCAGCCAUGCCGCGUGUGUGAAGAAGGCCUUUUGGUUGUAAAGCACUUUAAGCGAGGAGGAGGCUACUUAGAUUAAUACUCUAGGAUAGUGGACGUUACUCGCAGAAUAAGCACCGGCUAACUCUGUGCCAGCAGCCGCGGUAAUACAGAGGGUGCGAGCGUUAAUCGGAUUUACUGGGCGUAAAGCGUGCGUAGGCGGCUUUUUAAGUCGGAUGUGAAAUCCCUGAGCUUAACUUAGGAAUUGCAUUCGAUACUGGAAAGCUAGAGUAUGGGAGAGGAUGGUAGAAUUCCAGGUGUAGCGGUGAAAUGCGUAGAGAUCUGGAGGAAUACCGAUGGCGAAGGCAGCCAUCUGGCCUAAUACUGACGCUGAGGUACGAAAGCAUGGGGAGCAAACAGGAUUAGAUACCCUGGUAGUCCAUGCCGUAAACGAUGUCUACUAGCCGUUGGGGCCUUUGAGGCUUUAGUGGCGCAGCUAACGCGAUAAGUAGACCGC